AUUGAACGCUGGCGGCAUGCCUUACACAUGCAAGUCGAACGGCAGCACAGGUGCUUGCACCUGGUGGCGAGUGGCGAACGGGUGAGUAAUACAUCGGAACAUGUCCUGUAGUGGGGGAUAGCCCGGCGAAAGCCGGAUUAAUACCGCAUACGAUCUACGGAUGAAAGCGGGGGACCUUCGGGCCUCGCGCUAUAGGGUUGGCCGAUGGCUGAUUAGCUAGUUGGUGGGGUAAAGGCCUACCAAGGCGACGAUCAGUAGCUGGUCUGAGAGGACGACCAGCCACACUGGGACUGAGACACGGCCCAGACUCCUACGGGAGGCAGCAGUGGGGAAUUUUGGACAAUGGGCGAAAGCCUGAUCCAGCAAUGCCGCGUGUGUGAAGAAGGCCUUCAGGUUGUAAAGCACUUUUGUCCGGAAAGAAAUCCUUGGCCCUAAUACGGUCGGGGGAUGACGGUACCGGAAGAAUAAGCACCGGCUAACUACGUG
This 486-nucleotide ribosomal RNA is filed under the name uncultured bacterium. Its description in RNAcentral is "partial 16S ribosomal RNA". It matches the Rfam family "Bacterial small subunit ribosomal RNA", at positions 30 to 507 of the family's 1533-position model. The record is from RNAcentral.